This 224-nucleotide long non-coding RNA is filed under the name Prunus persica (peach). RNAcentral's name for it is "long non-coding RNA (PPER_LNC004713)". The record is from RNAcentral. Lineage: Eukaryota; Viridiplantae; Streptophyta; Magnoliopsida; Rosales; Rosaceae.
AGUGGAUUGCCAGAUCUUCACUCUAUCCACUACCUCAUCCAUUGCCUUGGAUUUUGCCUUGCUAGGACGGAAGUAAGCUUCUCCAGUUUGUCCAGCUGGGCGUCUAAGUCCAUGGCUUCAAACUCUACCAAUUCCGGAUCAGCAAAGGAAGACGUGGUAGAUGAACCUGGGAGAGAAUGGAUGGGCAUCUACAAAACAAAAUCAAGUCAGUUCCAGGCAAAGUC